RNAcentral lists this ribosomal RNA (465 nucleotides) under uncultured bacterium. RNAcentral's name for it is "partial 16S ribosomal RNA". It matches the Rfam family "Bacterial small subunit ribosomal RNA", at positions 338 to 795 of the family's 1533-position model. The record is from RNAcentral.
CCUACGGGAGGCAGCAGUAGGGAAUCUUCCACAAUGGGCGAAAGCCUGAUGCAGCAACGCCGCGUGAGGGAAGAAGGUCUUCGGAUCGUAAAACCCUUUUGUUCGAGAAGAAAGUGCGUGAGAGUAACUGUUCACGUUUCGACGGUAUCUAACCAGAAAGCCACGGCUAACUACGUGCCAGCACCCGCGGGAAUACGUAGGUGGCAAGCGUUGUCCGGAUUUGUUGGGGGUAAAGGGAACGCAGGCGGUCUUGUAAGUCUGAUGGGAAAGCCUUGGGCUUAACCGGAGUAGUGCAUUGGAAACUGGGGGACUUGAGUGCAGAAGAGGAGAGUGGAACUCGAGGUGUAGCGGUGAAAUGCGUAGAUAUAUGGAAGAACACCAGUGGCGAAAGCGGCUCUCUGGUCUGUAACUGACGCUGAGGUUCGAAAGCGUGGGUAGCAAACAGGAUUAGAUACCCUUGUAGUC